This 170-nucleotide ribosomal RNA is filed under the name uncultured rumen bacterium. RNAcentral describes it as "partial 16S ribosomal RNA". It matches the Rfam family "Bacterial small subunit ribosomal RNA", at positions 338 to 524 of the family's 1533-position model. The record is from RNAcentral.
CCUACGGGAGGCAGCAGUGGGGAAUCUUGCACAAUGGACGAAAGUCUGAUGCAGCGAUCCCGCGUGAAGGAUGAAGCAUUACGGUGUGUAAACUUCUUUUUUGGUGGAAGACGAAUGACGGUACACCAAGAAUAAGAGACGGCUAACUACGUGCCAGCAGCCGCGGUAAU